AAAUUGAAGAGUUUGAUCAUGGCUCAGAUUGAACGCUGGCGGCAGGCCUAACACAUGCAAGUCGAGCGGUAGCACAGAGAGCUUGCUCUCGGGUGACGAGCGGCGGACGGGUGAGUAAUGUCUGGGAAACUGCCUGAUGGAGAGGGAUAACUACUGGAAACGGUAGCUAAUACCGCAUAAUGUCGCAAGACCAAAGUGGGGGACCUUCGGGCCUCAUGCCAUCAGAUGUGCCCAGAUGGGAUUAGCUAGUAGGUGGGGUAACGGCUCACCUAGGCGACGAUCCCUAGCUGGUCUGAGAGGAUGACCAGCCACACUGGAACUGAGACACGGUCCAGACUCCUACGGGAGGCAGCAGUGGGGAAUAUUGCACAAUGGGCGCAAGCCUGAUGCAGCCAUGCCGCGUGUGUGAAGAAGGCCUUCGGGUUGUAAAGCACUUUCAGCGGGGAGGAAGGCGUUAAGGUUAAUAACCUUGUCGAUUGACGUUACCCGCAGAAGAAGCACCGGCUAACUCCGUGCCAGCAGCCGCGGUAAUACGGAGGGUGCAAGCGUUAAUCGGAAUUACUGGGCGUAAAGCGCACGCAGGCGGUCUGUCAAGUCGGAUGUGAAAUCCCCGGGCUCAACCUGGGAACUGCAUUCGAAACUGGCAGGCUAGAGUCUUGUAGAGGGGGGUAGAAUUCCAGGUGUAGCGGUGAAAUGCGUAGAGAUCUGGAGGAAUACCGGUGGCGAAGGCGGCCCCCUGGACAAAGACUGACGCUCAGGUGCGAAAGCGUGGGGAGCAAACAGGAUUAGAUACCCUGGUAGUCCACGCCGUAAACGAUGUCGAUUUGGAGGUUGUGCCCUUGAGGCGUGGCUUCCGGAGCUAACGCGUUAAAUCGACCGCCUGGGGAGUACGGCCGCAAGGUUAAAACUCAAAUGAAUUGACGGGGGCCCGCACAAGCGGUGGAGCAUGUGGUUUAAUUCGAUGCAACGCGAAGAACCUUACCUGGUCUUGACAUCCACAGAACUUUCCAGAGAUGGAUUGGUGCCUUCGGGAACUGUGAGACAGGUGCUGCAUGGCUGUCGUCAGCUCGUGUUGUGAAAUGUUGGGUUAAGUCCCGCAACGAGCGCAACCCUUAUCCUUUGUUGCCAGCGGUUAGGCCGGGAACUCAAAGGAGACUGCCAGUGAUAAACUGGAGGAAGGUGGGGAUGACGUCAAGUCAUCAUGGCCCUUACGACCAGGGCUACACACGUGCUACAAUGGCAUAUACAAAGAGAAGCGACCUCGCGAGAGCAAGCGGACCUCAUAAAGUAUGUCGUAGUCCGGAUUGAGUCUGCAACUCGACUCCAUGAAGUCGGAAUCGCUAGUAAUCGUAGAUCAGAAUGCUACGGUGAAUACGUUCCCGGGCCUUGUACACACCGCCCGUCACACCAUGGGAGUGGGUUGCAAAAGAAGUAGGUAGCUUAACCUUCGGGAGGGCGCUUACCACUUUGUGAUUCAUGACUGGGGUGAAGUCGUAACAAGGUAACCGUAGGGGAACCUGCGGUUGGAUCACCUCCUUACCUUAAAGAA
RNAcentral lists this ribosomal RNA (1549 nucleotides) under Klebsiella pneumoniae. RNAcentral describes it as "bacterial SSU rRNA". It matches the Rfam family "Bacterial small subunit ribosomal RNA". Lineage: Bacteria; Pseudomonadati; Pseudomonadota; Gammaproteobacteria; Enterobacterales; Enterobacteriaceae. The record is from RNAcentral.